Nicotiana tabacum (common tobacco) is the source of this 1950-nucleotide non-coding RNA. The record is from RefSeq and is a predicted model, not a curated record. NCBI's taxonomy places the organism in Eukaryota, Viridiplantae, Streptophyta, Magnoliopsida, Solanales, Solanaceae.
UGACACAACUUGAAAGAUAAAAGAGAGAAAGAAGAGGGAGAGGAAGAAAGCUAUGGCGAACAAGCUGCUUAGCGAAAUGGGUCUUCCCAAGUCUAUUGCCUACAUUUUUUCUGCUCGUAACCUUAUUACUGCUAAGGACGUAUUGUCAUUGACAGAAUUCGAGUUGAUGGAAUUGUUAGAUGUGGAUUUAGCUGUAGUAGCAUCAGCAGUGGCACACAUCAGUGAAAUUACAUGUCCUCCUUACCAAACUGCACUUUCAUUGCUGGAACAGAGGGUUCAAAAUGAGAGAAUGGCUGGCCAUCUUCCAACUUGUCUAAAAGGACUCGAUAAUGCUUUGUGUGGUGGAAUUCCUUUUGGUGUUGUGACAGAGCUAGUGGGUCCAGCAGGCAUUGGUAAAACUCAGUUCUGUUUGAAGCUUUCGUUAUUAGCUUCUCUUCCAUUAAGUUAUGGUGGCUUAGAUGGUUCAGUAAUUUAUAUCGAUACAGAAUCCAAGUUUAGUUCAAGGAGGAUGAUAGAAAUGGGAUAUAAUAGCUUCCCCGAAGCAUUUCACGCUGAAGGGAUGGCACAGGAGAUGGCUGGAAGGAUCCUAGUUUUAAGACCGACAUCCCUUUCUGAAUUCACUGAUAGCUUGCAGAAAAUCAGAGUUUCACUAUUUCAACAUGGUGUGAAAUUGCUGAUCAUCGACAGCAUGGCUGCUCUUCUUGCAGGUGAAGGUGUCCAAGGACCUCAGAGGCAACAUUCAUUGGGUUGGCAUAUAUCAUUUAUUAAAUCAGUUGCAGAAUUUUCACGAAUUCCUGUAGUAGUAACCAACCAAGUGAGAUCUCAAAGUCGUGAUGAAACUUCCCACUAUUCUUUCCAAGCUGAACUAUCUGGGCCCUCAACUAGAUUCAUCCCAGCCACAUAUAUCUUCCUCCAGCUCAAGUCACCUUACUAUUAUUCUGCAACGUCAAAACUCAUUACAUUCCUUAUGCCUUUGGAGUCAUACUCGACCUCGAGCAAGCUGUUGCUAGAUAAACUUUGGAAACUAAGCUUGAUUACCUUCCUAUCUUCUUGUGUUGCUUCUUUUGGAGGAGAAGCUGUUGUAGAGAUACACCCGGUCCAAUCUUCAUUUCAACUAUCAAGCAUGAAAAUACAAGAACUGAGCAGAGUCGAUCGUUCAGAAGCUUCCACAAAUCUUGAUUCUCAUCUUGUUGCUGCUUUAGGGAUCCACUGGGCUCAUGCUGUUAGUAUUCGUCUUGUAUUUGAAUCAAGAUCAGGUCAAAGGUUCAUAAAAUUAGCAAAAUCUCCACUAUCUCCACCUCUUGCAUUCCCUUUCAACAUAACUUCUUCUGGGAUUUCAUUGCUUAAUGAUGAUGGAGUGGAAAUGCCAGGGCCAGAGAUACAUACAAUACAUUGUCAAGGUCACAGCAGCAUUAUUAAUGUCGGAAGUGAAAUGAUGCAUUGAACUCCAGAAGUAAAGCUCUCUUGCUCUAUGUAUAGCGUAUAGGUGCGCGCUGCUACACUUCUUAUUCUUACACUGGUGUAAAUUCCAUCACUUGACGAACAACAAAUGAUUAACUUUUACAUGAAGAUUCUGUUGGUAGCAUGUGGACUCCUUCAAGUUAAGGAUUCACAAUUCCCUCAGAUCCAUUCUGCUGAUAGUACCGGCCACGGGGGAAGUAGUAACAUAACUUGAUGGCGCUUGCCCCCGUCUCACCUCCAUUACAUAGCUCAUAUUGUGUGGGUUUUCCUCUCAGACCCCUUGAACAACUUGACCAUAUUCUUACUCUUACUGUGAUUCAUUCCUUAAUUUUGUUUAUCCGGAUUGCAUGAAUCGUGUUCUCUUUUUGACUGUCAUACUGGUGUGUAGAAACUAUAAUUCUUAUUCGUGAGUGAAGGGAUGUUGAAGUGCUUACCAUUAAUUAUUCGGUAUGGCUUUUCUAGUCCCAGAAAAUUGAGUGUAUUUUUCAA